This 12779-nucleotide long non-coding RNA is filed under the name Brassica napus (rape). RNAcentral describes it as "long non-coding RNA (BNAP_LNC002571)". The record is from RNAcentral. Lineage: Eukaryota; Viridiplantae; Streptophyta; Magnoliopsida; Brassicales; Brassicaceae.
UGUGUGAAGAUGGUAUUAUUGGCUUUAAGAUUGCUUGCAAUAAAAGUAAAUUAAUUGGUUGUUAAUUUUUAUAACAAAUUUAACUUAAAAUCUGUUCAAAAAGAGCAUUCCUCGUACCUGUAGAUAUGCUUCCUCAUGAUUUAAGGACUUAAUUGGUUGUUAAUUUUUUAAACACCAUGAGAGGGACAUGCAUGCCAGAAGAGAGAACUUACUAAUACACCAUGGCUAGCUUAUGGUUUUUUUUUGGUCAAUGCUUAUGGUUAAUUAGAAAUGAAAUUUGGAAGAAAAGAUAGCUUUUAUUUAUGUCAAUAUGUAAAUUUUCUGCUAGUCAACAAGACACGAACUUUAUACACAAGGACUAGGAGAAUAAUUAACGUUAUCUGAUUUUCCCCAAGCAAUCAAAACAUCCCAGAGGCUUGGUCUAAAUAUUUCACAUGGGUUUUGGAUAGAGAGGUAAUAGUAAAGUUGAUAGAACAUAAAGAGGAGUAUUUUUGAGAAUCAGUUUUUCAUGGCAGAUAGGGUUUUCGAUGAAGAGGUAAUAGAUUUGAUAGAACAAAAAGACACAUCAUCUCUCUUAUUCUUGAAAACCAGUUUGUCUUGGCUGAUACAGUGACAUCUGUGAUAUAUCGGCCGACAAAUCCUGUUGGACAUUCCUGGUAGUUUAUUAUUACUUCACAUACUUUAUAAUUCAACGCCCACCUUGUCCUUGGGAAUAACUGAGAAUAAUGUACGGUAAGUGGAUGAGUGUCAAACUUGCAUUUUAUCAACACCGGAGUUGCACUUUUUGAUUUCAAAUGGAAGCUGCAUUUGAAAAAUUUUCCCCGCUGUCUAAUAGAGUGAGAGGGUGUUUGUGUGCUCCAUUGUUCAAUGGAUCAGAAAGGGAAGAACACUUUGUAUACAUUUUAAAGUCACAUUCUUCUUGGUAGCGCACCGAUACAUGAAACCACAUGAUUCACGUCCACAUUUAGAACAACUGAGGAACCCGUCUUUGAUUUUCAUCAUGUUUACCUCUAGGGUUAGCGGAUGGCGGUGGAGCGAGUGUUCUCCAUCUUCCGAGGAAGACUUGCACAACUGUCAUGGAGUGCAAAAUCACAUUCUUUACAACCCAAGAAACUACCAAAGUCAAUGAGAAGGAUGCAUACUCGUCCAUCGUCCACUUCAUUAUUGACGCAAAGUCCCAUCAGGUCAUGUUGAUGACUAAAGUGGCGGCUAGUCUUGUCAUCUACCUCCACCAAUGGUGACGACGCAAUAUCUUCAGAAUUAUUAAUUCCUUCAGGUUCUCGUUCCAUAUAUUUGCCAUCCCAAAUCUCUUUACGUACGUGUUGCACAAUAUGAAUGUAGUUUAUAAUCACACGACUUGUCGAUACAAAUAUAUCCUCCACAUUCAUAAACAACCGGUUUAUCACACAUAUUCGGCAGUUUUUAAAAUCAAGAACUUGAAAAGUUUGAAACAAGCGAUGUCGGUGACUGGUGAGCUUCACGACCUUUGGUAAAUAGAUGUAGUUUCUGUGAACAAAGAAAUUGCAUUGCAAAUAUCCGUACAUAUUCAUCUUCUCCUUGUAUACCCCACAAGCAGCACAGUUGAAGGUGUUCAUUUUGCGAAUGAAGGUGAGUAUUGUGCCAAUUGCCAAAUGAGUAUUGUUAUAUCUAGCUAAUAGUCUGCCUAGUUAAGCCUUAUCUUGCAAACGUUGUCUCAAAAACUUAACACAAUGCACACGUGGCUUCAAUAGUGACUCAUUAAUCAACCCAAAUAAUUCCGGGGAUAUAUUUUAUUUUCGGUAGUACCUCGUUGCUGUAUUUAGUCUCCCAAACCUGUUCAAAUUCAUGUCAUUCAUAUUUUCAGUGACUCCAAGUCCAAGUACAUCUAGUUGUACUUGUCUCUGUACAUUUCACGAUAAGUAGGAAUCAUAACUAAGUGUGUUAUUAUAUUCAAAGCUAUAUCCUCCUUUUAACAUUUUAAUUUAUAAAUCAUAUUUAUACAAAACCCAUAUUGGUUUAUUUUGUUUACUUGUAAUCAUGGAUAUUUCAGAUUUAUAAAAUCACAUGCAGAAUUCAGAGUAAUCUUGCUUUUAUUGGUUCUAGAAUCAAGAUUUAGAAGGGAAUGGUAGGUGAGCAUGAGAUAUCAAUGCAUCUGAAUUGCUUGAUUUCGUUUGGGUGACAGGUGAGUAGGGGACGAUGACAGGUGAGCUAUGGAAUACCAGAAAUGGUUUACAUGAUUUUGAAACUUUCUCGAACUUGUCAUGGACCAAUGAAAAGUCUCCACAUGGGAACUCAACACAAGAAUCACAUAUAAUAAGUGAAAUGUAUUGAUAAUAAAGAUCCUAAUGGCAUUGCAUCUAUGACUCUAUCUUGGGGUUGUUGUUGUGCAAGCCAGCUUUGCAGCAUUAUGCUCUGUGACUCUUAAUUGUAGUUUUCCUAUGGCUUUUGACUUAAAAUCGUUGUUUGGGUUUAUUCAUUUAGUUAUUAUACAUUUCUGAUUCGAAAAAUGAUUUUGUUAACUUACAAAUGCAAGCACAUGGUCAUAGGAAUCAUAACUAAGUGUGUUAUUAUAUUCAAAGCUAUAUCCUCCUUUUAACAUUUUAAUUUAUAAAUCAUAUUUAUACAAAACCCAUAUUGGUUUAUUUUGUUUACUUGUAAUCAUGGAUAUUUCAGAUUUAUAAAAUCACAUGCAGAAUUCAGAGUAAUCUUGCUUUUAUUGGUUCUAGAAUCAAGAUUUAGAAGGGAAUGGUAGGUGAGCAUGAGAUAUCAAUGCAUCUGAAUUGCUUGAUUUCGUUUGGGUGACAGGUGAGUAGGGGACGAUGACCGGUGAGCUAUGGAAUACCAGAAAUGGUUUACAUGAUUUUGAAACUUUCUCGAACUUGUCAUGGACCAAUGAAAAGUCUCCACAUGGGAACUCAACACAAGAAUCACAUAUAAUAAGUGAAAUGUAUUGAUAAUAAAGAUCCUAAUGGCAUUGCAUCUAUGACUCUAUCUUGGGGUUGUUGUUGUGCAAGCCAGCUUUGCAGCAUUAUGCUCUGUGACUCUUAAUUGUAGUUUUCCUAUGGCUUUUGACUUAAAAUCGUUGUUUGGGUUUAUUCAUUUAGUUAUUAUACAUUUCUGAUUCGAAAAAUGAUUUUGUUAACUUACAAAUGCAAGCACAUGGUCAAGAUUUAGUGUACUGAUCAUUGAUCAAUUGGUUUCUCUCUCGUGAGUAUCAUUCUUUACUCUUAUAUACAUUAUAUUCUUAUUUUAUUUUUAAUCAGUCUCGAAUUGUUUCAGUCCAACGGUUUUGCAUUAUUGUGAUGAAGCUCCUGUGGUCAAAUGGUUAGAGAUCGUUUGGCAUUUUAGGGUAAUCAUGUAUACUUAGUGGAUAGCUGGUGUAAUUAACGGAAAAUGACGACAUAUCAAUAUUGAUUCAGCUUUGGCUAGUUAGUUGUAAAGAAGCUGAUGAUGUAGUUUUUCUUUUUACAUGUGCGUUUGCUACAACUUAAAUUAUUCUAUGUUUACAUUUGCGUUUUGUAUAUAGAACAAUUAGUUCAUCCAUUUUGUUUAUUGUGAUGAAGUGUUACUUCUUUAUCAAAAGAACGUCAAAACUUAAAACAUGUGUAUUAUAACAUAUUUAGUGUUUAGUAAGUUAGUAACCAACUACUAUAAUCUUUAGUGAUAUAUUGGGAAAAAGCAACUUUAUGGACCCGUAUAAUUAUUUGCCUUAAAGGCUAAACCAGAUCAUAAUCUCAAUAUUAAACUGGUAUAACUACUAAACAUGUUUACAUAUCUGCAUGAUUAACAUCGAUUAGCUGUAGUAUUUGUGUUUAUGCGGUCUUUAAACAAAUCAAGCCUCUUAAUUAAUUUUGGAUGUAUAUGCUCUCCUUCUAGAUCUGAUCACCUUGUGAUUUUUCAACUGAAAGGCAUGGAUUGUGCAUAUGGUCGCACCUAUUCUAACUAAGAUGUCUCAAUAAUUUAAAAUCAUGAUUAUCUUAUAAUUAUGUAAUUAUGUGUACAAUUUGAAUUUUAGUAGUAUAAAUAACUACGUGAUUGGUCUAGCUAGUGAUCAUCACCACAACUAGCACCAAGUUCCUGAUGUCUUUGUGGCUUUGUUUUUUUCGUUGCUCAAAAAGGGACACUCGUCCAUGUAAAUUUAAUAGUUCAGAAGAUCAGCGUUCCUUUCAAUUUUUCACUUUCUCUUCUAAUUAAAUCAUCUUUUUUUUUGAAUAGUAUUCUUUCCGUUCAUAAAAGAUUCAUGUUAUAGUUUUUAACACUUAUUAAAAAAGCAUUUAAAAUUGUAUUUUUCAAUACAUUAUUUUUCUUAAUUAAUUAUUCCCAAUAACUUUUAACCAAUGAGAUUUUAUUAAACACAAUUGUAAUUUUUGAAAAGUACAAUUUUUCAUUAAUUAAUAUAUUGAAAAUGUAAAAAUGUAUCUUUUUAAAACAAUUUUUUUUCUAAAAUAUAGAUCUUUAAAAAACAGGGGGAGUACUUUUAUUCAUCUUUCCUUUCCAAUAGACAGAGCUGGGCAUGUGGGCAUUGUUAUGAAAUUUUUGAACGGCCCCACCUUAGAGGGGUCCCACUUUUUUAAAAAAUCAUGUGUAUUUUUUUUUUUGGAAUUUAAAAAAAUCAUGUGUAUAUGUGAAAAUCUUAAAAAAAUAGAAAAAAAAAGAAAAAUGAAAAAGAGUAAAAGAUAAAUGUGUUCGUAGAUAUUAGUGCACACUAAUCUACAAACAAACUUCAUGUCUAUAACCCUUCAUAAAGGGAAUGGACAGCAUCUACUCACAUUUUGGGAUUGCAAUUAAACUUUUUUAAUUAAAUACUCACCGUCUAUACACACUAACAAACAAAAUGAUAUUAAUAAUAAUGUUAGUGUUUGCUUAGUUAAGUUGUAUUUAAGGUAUAAUAAAUAUAAAUACCAACUCUAAAAUAAAAAGUAAAUAUUUUUUUAGUUUAUAAAAAUGAUAAAAAUAUAUUACAUGAAUUUUAUAUUAUAACUUAGAUAUAAAUAAAUGGUAUACUAAAAAAUUAUGAAUUUAUAAAAUAAAUAUUUUUAAAAUUUAUAAAAAUAUUAGAUAGUUAAUAAAUAUGUUUUGAAUAGGGCCCCGUAAAUUUCAGAACCGGCUCUGCCAAUAGACAUGACCGGCUUAAUGGGCAGGGAAAAUAGUGUACCCACCCAGAGCCCAUCUAAGGGCUCCAUAUAUUUUAUUUUAUUUUUAUAAUAAGGGCCCAGAUUUUUAAUUUUGAUACUUUAGUGUUAAAUUUUGAUAAUAUUUUGCUGACAUAGAAAUCUAAGUUUUUAAAAUUUAAAAGUUGAAAACGAAAAAUAAAAAUUUAGUUACUUUGCUUAAAAAAUUUAAUAUUAUUUUUAAAAAUAUUUUAAUUAUAAUAUCAAAAUUAAUUAAUUAAGAGGCCUAAAAAUUAUUUUUGCCUAGAGGCACUACUUAGCCUUAAGCCGGCCCUGCCAAUAGAAUGACUGUAAUUUUCUUGGAUAAACAUUUAUAGUGUUUUGACUUCAUAUUAUUUAAACUUGCUUUGUGAUUACUUUUCUUAAUGCUAUAAGCUUGGGUUCAAGUUGUGACAUCAAGAGAUUGACCAACCAUCAAAAUGCUAAAAAGUCUGGAUAUUGUCAUCUUUCCUUUUGACUGAGACCUUAAAAUCUCAUGAUUUGUAUAAUGAUUCUAUAGCUUAGAACUAGUUUUUGUUUCUAUUAUUUUGUGAGUAAUAUACUUAUUUUUUUGUAUCUAUAAUGUCAGUAAAUUUGUGUAAUUUUAUUGGUUAAAAAUAAUAGUAGUGUUUUUUUUUACUGUUUGGCCACAUACGUUUGACUAAUACAGUAUAAGUAUAAGGCCGUUAGAACAAGCUUCAAAAGUAGAUCAACUAACCUUAUAAAGUUGGGCCUCCAGAUGAUACACAUGCACAUAUCAAAACUAUAUAUGGAAGAAAAAAACUAUAUAUAUAUGGCAAAAGACAGUAUCUUAUAAUCUUGAUAUCACAUAUAUCUGCAAAAGUAGAUGAACUAAAUAUGAAUAACAAAUAAAAAACUGUAUGACCUAGUGGAACAUUUCAUUAAUUAGGACAUAACCAUAUAUAAGUUCGGGUCCUAUAUUGAAAUUGAUAUCCAUGAUGUAACUGAUGGUGUCGAUGGAUGACAAUAAUGACUUUGUCUUAUAUGUAUUAUAUAUGUUCUACCACCUCAACACAAUAAUAGAUAGUUUGGUAUUUUUACUUAUUUAAUUAAUUUGGUUAGUUUUCACUUAGUCCAAUACUAAAUUUUCGUUAAGAAAAUAAAAAUCAAAUGUUUGAACCAGUAAACGUGUAAAAUUACGACAUCGUAUUUAUUUGGUAGAGAUGUUCUUGUUUAACUGACUCUUUCAAAACUAGUAGACGAACUUUGCAGCUUACACCUUAAUUUAACUAGCGAGAUGUCUCUAACAAAAUAAAGAAAAUAACAUAUUGACAUUUAUGAAGGUGUAAGGUAAAAUCAUAACUGCAAAGUUGGUCUACUAGUUUUGAAAGAGUCAGUUAAACAAGAACAUCUCAACCAAAUAAAAUCCGAUUGCGUAAUUUUACACGUUUACUGAUUCAAACAUUUGUUUUUUAUUUUCCUAACGAGAAUUUAAUAUUCCAUUCGUUUCAAAAUGUUACAUAUUUUAGAAGAAGAAAAAUUAGUUUUUAUAUUUUUAAUGCAUGUUUUAUUAACUAAUUACAAACUUCAAAAAACUUAAUUGCACUUAUUAGGUUUUUAUUGGCUUAAAAUUAUAGAAAAAAUAAUCACAAAAAAUUAUGCAAAUUUAAUGUGUUUUAUUAAAAUGUGUAAAAAAUUAAAAUAUGUAACAUUUUGAAACUGAAGGAGUAUUGGACUAAAGUGACUCGAUCUAAAGUGUACGGUUAAAUCUAUAAGGUAGAAGAUGUCAACUGACUUAAUAAAUUACAGUUAUGACUUUCUAACAUAAAACACAUCAAUAUCUAAAUAACUUAUAUAUGUAUAAUUAAUUUAUAUUUUAUUUGCAUAUGUAUAAAAUAAUAUGUUUUCACUACAAAAAAACAAGCAAUUUAAUGUUCUUCCCUCGAACAUGGUCAUUUUAAAAUCGUAUCUGCAUAUAUAAUAAAUGUAUAUAUUUUCAUUUAUAUAUAUCUUGUACCAUAUAUAAACACAAACAUAACAUAUUAAAAGCAAUCAAAUCAUAGAAAUGUAGUAUUUAUGAUCAAUUAUUAUAGUACUCCAUAUAAGUUGUACAUAGAUGGUUGAGUAUAUUAAAUGGUAUCCAUGCAUGUAAAGUUCACAACAAAUCUUUUUUUUUUAAUUACUCCUUGGUCUUGAUUAUCUAUAAAUAUAAUAAUAAUUAAUAUAAUUUUUUUUUAUUAAUUAUGAUAGCUAAAAUAGUAUAUAUAUUGUAAAAUCUUAUAAAAUAAUACUCCUUUCAUUUUAAUGUAUGAUGUCUUAUACAGUUUUUGAUGUUUCAGUAUGUAAGAUGUAUUUAUUUUUAGGUAACUUUUAAUUUUAUUAAAAACCGUGUAACCAAUAGUAUUUUAUUCAUUAUUAUGUAAUUUUUUGGAUAGUUUAUUUUAUUUUUAAUGAUACUUUAGACAAAAAAUAAUUUUCUUCACUGUUGUGCAUAUGUUAAAAACAUCAUAUAUGUUGGAACCGUUCAUUUCCUCCAUUUAAAAUUAAAUAUCGUUUAAAGUCUUUGCACAUAUUAUAAAUAGUUACAUGUUUAGUUUUGUCAUCUUUAAUUAUUAAAUUUUAUCAUAUUUUAAAUUGAUAAAAUUUAAUUAGAAUUAAAAGAGAUAAAUUAAUGUAAAAUAUUGCAUUAAAGUCAAAAAUAAAAUUUAUUUUGUAACAAAAACUUUAUUAUACAAUGAUCCUUAAUUUAAAGCAGAGAGUAUUAUUUAUUAAUCAUGAGAUUUAGUCUAUUAUAGUAAAUAUAUUUAGUAUAUUAUUAUAAUUUUGUAAAAGUUUAAACCGCAUAAAUUUUCAAUUAAUUAUUAUAGACAUUAGACGUUGGGUCAUAGUCUAGUUAGCACUUAAAGUUUCCUUGAAUACUGAAAAAAAUUUCAUUAUCAGAUUCCACUUUUACCGGUGACGUUUUUCAAACCCAAAUAUUUGUAAUAUCCAGUCCACACGCUGUGACAGAAGAGCAAGUAGAGACUGUAGACAAGUUUUUGGAAUGAAUCAGUCAACUCUGACUAUAAAUCCAGCAAAGGUCAGCAAAUGAAAAAGUGACCGUAUUGUCAUCUUUCCUUUUGACUGAGACCUUAAAAUCUCAUGAUUUGUAUAAUGAUUCUAUAGCUUAGAACUAGUUUUUGUUUCUAUUAUUUUGUGAGUAAUAUACUUAUUUUUUUGUAUCUAUAAUGUCAGUAAAUUUGUGUAAUUUUAUUGGUUAAAAAUAAUAGUAGUGUUUUUUUUUACUGUUUGGCCACAUACGUUUGACUAAUACAGUAUAAGUAUAAGGCCGUUAGAACAAGCUUCAAAAGUAGAUCAACUAACCUUAUAAAGUUGGGCCUCCAGAUGAUACACAUGCACAUAUCAAAACUAUAUAUGGAAGAAAAAAACUAUAUAUAUAUGGCAAAAGACAGUAUCUUAUAAUCUUGAUAUCACAUAUAUCUGCAAAAGUAGAUGAACUAAAUAUGAAUAACAAAUAAAAAACUGUAUGACCUAGUGGAACAUUUCAUUAAUUAGGACAUAACCAUAUAUAAGUUCGGGUCCUAUAUUGAAAUUGAUAUCCAUGAUGUAACUGAUGGUGUCGAUGGAUGACAAUAAUGACUUUGUCUUAUAUGUAUUAUAUAUGUUCUACCACCUCAACACAAUAAUAGAUAGUUUGGUAUUUUUACUUAUUUAAUUAAUUUGGUUAGUUUUCACUUAGUCCAAUACUAAAUUUUCGUUAAGAAAAUAAAAAUCAAAUGUUUGAACCAGUAAACGUGUAAAAUUACGACAUCGUAUUUAUUUGGUAGAGAUGUUCUUGUUUAACUGACUCUUUCAAAACUAGUAGACGAACUUUGCAGCUUACACCUUAAUUUAACUAGCGAGAUGUCUCUAACAAAAUAAAGAAAAUAACAUAUUGACAUUUAUGAAGGUGUAAGGUAAAAUCAUAACUGCAAAGUUGGUCUACUAGUUUUGAAAGAGUCAGUUAAACAAGAACAUCUCAACCAAAUAAAAUCCGAUUGCGUAAUUUUACACGUUUACUGAUUCAAACAUUUGUUUUUUAUUUUCCUAACGAGAAUUUAAUAUUCCAUUCGUUUCAAAAUGUUACAUAUUUUAGAAGAAGAAAAAUUAGUUUUUAUAUUUUUAAUGCAUGUUUUAUUAACUAAUUACAAACUUCAAAAAACUUAAUUGCACUUAUUAGGUUUUUAUUGGCUUAAAAUUAUAGAAAAAAUAAUCACAAAAAAUUAUGCAAAUUUAAUGUGUUUUAUUAAAAUGUGUAAAAAAUUAAAAUAUGUAACAUUUUGAAACUGAAGGAGUAUUGGACUAAAGUGACUCGAUCUAAAGUGUACGGUUAAAUCUAUAAGGUAGAAGAUGUCAACUGACUUAAUAAAUUACAGUUAUGACUUUCUAACAUAAAACACAUCAAUAUCUAAAUAACUUAUAUAUGUAUAAUUAAUUUAUAUUUUAUUUGCAUAUGUAUAAAAUAAUAUGUUUUCACUACAAAAAAACAAGCAAUUUAAUGUUCUUCCCUCGAACAUGGUCAUUUUAAAAUCGUAUCUGCAUAUAUAAUAAAUGUAUAUAUUUUCAUUUAUAUAUAUCUUGUACCAUAUAUAAACACAAACAUAACAUAUUAAAAGCAAUCAAAUCAUAGAAAUGUAGUAUUUAUGAUCAAUUAUUAUAGUACUCCAUAUAAGUUGUACAUAGAUGGUUGAGUAUAUUAAAUGGUAUCCAUGCAUGUAAAGUUCACAACAAAUCUUUUUUUUUUAAUUACUCCUUGGUCUUGAUUAUCUAUAAAUAUAAUAAUAAUUAAUAUAAUUUUUUUUUAUUAAUUAUGAUAGCUAAAAUAGUAUAUAUAUUGUAAAAUCUUAUAAAAUAAUACUCCUUUCAUUUUAAUGUAUGAUGUCUUAUACAGUUUUUGAUGUUUCAGUAUGUAAGAUGUAUUUAUUUUUAGGUAACUUUUAAUUUUAUUAAAAACCGUGUAACCAAUAGUAUUUUAUUCAUUAUUAUGUAAUUUUUUGGAUAGUUUAUUUUAUUUUUAAUGAUACUUUAGACAAAAAAUAAUUUUCUUCACUGUUGUGCAUAUGUUAAAAACAUCAUAUAUGUUGGAACCGUUCAUUUCCUCCAUUUAAAAUUAAAUAUCGUUUAAAGUCUUUGCACAUAUUAUAAAUAGUUACAUGUUUAGUUUUGUCAUCUUUAAUUAUUAAAUUUUAUCAUAUUUUAAAUUGAUAAAAUUUAAUUAGAAUUAAAAGAGAUAAAUUAAUGUAAAAUAUUGCAUUAAAGUCAAAAAUAAAAUUUAUUUUGUAACAAAAACUUUAUUAUACAAUGAUCCUUAAUUUAAAGCAGAGAGUAUUAUUUAUUAAUCAUGAGAUUUAGUCUAUUAUAGUAAAUAUAUUUAGUAUAUUAUUAUAAUUUUGUAAAAGUUUAAACCGCAUAAAUUUUCAAUUAAUUAUUAUAGACAUUAGACGUUGGGUCAUAGUCUAGUUAGCACUUAAAGUUUCCUUGAAUACUGAAAAAAAUUUCAUUAUCAGAUUCCACUUUUACCGGUGACGUUUUUCAAACCCAAAUAUUUGUAAUAUCCAGUCCACACGCUGUGACAGAAGAGCAAGUAGAGACUGUAGACAAGUUUUUGGAAUGAAUCAGUCAACUCUGACUAUAAAUCCAGCAAAGGUCAGCAAAUGAAAAAGUGACCGUACUCUCUCGGGAAAUGGUGAGCAAUAAUAGAGUACGAGUCUAUGAGACGGUGCACCGAAGCGUACGUGGUUCGCUUCACUCUUACUUGUCGUCGCGUCGGUGCACUUUACUCUUUUUCACUGACACCAACCCCGCGUCUUCUUUUGGAGUCUGCUUGCAUAUCUUUUUUUUUCUUGAUAAUAAAUUUCGAAUAAACAUGAUUUUAAUUUUUACCUUUACAGAAUCCUCUCUAGCAGUUUGACAAAAAGAGAAUCCUCUCUAGCAUUAUUCAUCAUUGUGCUUCUUAGCUGGCUAUCGGCUGUUACGCUAUCACUCUCUCAUCCUUUGACUUUAUUUCUUGCUACUACGUAACCAAUUACUACCAAAUACUAACCAUUUACAAGUAUCAGUUAACAACGGUAUUUAGCUUUUAAACUGUCUAUCGGUGUUAUUUACAAUUUGAGUCUGAGUUUUUCACAUAUUGGACAAUUCUCUGAUUUGUGCAUGUCAUUCUUGCUAAUUUUCUCUCUAUCUUUCUAAUUUUAUCAGAUGUCCUCAAAAUGACUUUCCAUAAGUUUUUAACUUUGGCAAAUGAUUUCAAUAGUUGAAAAAUUAGCGAACUUUUUUUUUUUUUUUUUUUUUUUUUAAAAGAGUCUGAUUUCCAUUGAUUUCUCCCAAAAGGGGUUUUACAACAGAACAUUACAACUCAAAAUUGAGUAAAAUUGGUACAACCAUGCUUUGUAGUUACGAAUCCGAAAGACGACACAGUCGGAUUGUGGCUAGCAACCCCGGGCCAGACAUCAACUUCACCACUUAGCUUGUUAAUCCAGGUUUGGUGCUUUCGCAACCAACCUCGCCUUCUUGCUGUAAUGCUGUCACUGUGAAGCUCGCAAUGGAGGAAGGGAUUAGGGUCAUACCGAAGAGCCAAAUCCCGCUAAAAGUGGGUUUGCUGAGGAAGCUGUCAUGUCAAGAUGGGAGAGUACCUGCAUUAAAAGAAAAGGUUUCAUCCUGGCGAAGCAGCCAUAAGACCGCUACACCACUGGAAUGGAUGAACACCAAAAUACGCCACAACCGAGGAACUGACGGCUCCGACGACUCGCGAAGCAAGACCAGACUCCACACGUAUUCUUACCCUAAGAACUAGAGUAAGUUCUUUACUGAAGCAGAGAGAAGAAGACUCCGUCGGAAGGAAACAGAGCCAAACACCACUUGAAGACCAAUACUCGAACCAAGACACCGGGUGAUGCGCAAAACCCGGAGGAGGAACACCAUUUGACAGGACCGCAGGAGAAGCAAGACAAAGACCGGGAGAAGAGAUGGAAAUCCAACGCCUGAGAACCAUUCCCCGAACGCCGGAGCAGACCAUAUCCUCGCACGCGACAGAGGGAUUUGUCAAGUGACACCGCCACCAGAAAAUACACCACCGCACGUCUUGGAGAAGAAGCGCCAAGCCCACCUUGAGAGCAGAGAGAAGGUGUGCUCCCGCCGAGACACCAAGGCUAGGGAGAAAAAAACCUUCGACUGCUACACCUCACCAAGCUGGAAUCAGAAAGAUCCGGGCCGGAAGAGUCAAUACCACUACCCACACGCCACCACCGCCGAAGGCUACGACCAGAUCUAAAAAGGAAAAAGUAGAUCUGGCGAGACUCCACUGCAAAAGCCGACUCCAGUCAUCUUGCAACCCUCUCCGCCUCGUCUCAGCUCCAGAUCGGGCCUUAGCCACCGGAUCUAUAACCCCCCGGGAGGAUCUAGGAUUCCGAUUUCAAAGCCGUACCAGAGAGUUGACAUGUCGAAAGAGAGGAGAGACAAGGGGAUGAAGCAAAAUAAAAACGAGAUGUAGGAGAAGAAGCGCCUCCGACGCCCGGAGCUAACGCACACCGACGAAACACCGGUGUCUCCGAACGUCGGAGCAAGGAGGAGGAAACUUUGUCGGGGUUUCUUUUUCUAGAGAUGGAAGGGAGAGAAGAGAGAGAAAGAGCACGCCAUGAUUUUUAUCUUAGC